RNAcentral lists this non-coding RNA (101 nucleotides) under Limosilactobacillus mucosae. Its description in RNAcentral is "Lactobacillus mucosae 23S-methyl". It matches the Rfam family "23S methyl RNA motif". The record is from RNAcentral. Lineage: Bacteria; Bacillati; Bacillota; Bacilli; Lactobacillales; Lactobacillaceae.
UCGUUUGACUGAGGACAUCGAUUUAAUCGUUGGUAUUGGUCAAAGAGUACUUCAUUAAAGCAGCGUUUCGCCGUGCCCACACCGAGACCCUGCUUUUUUUA